UACGUAGGGUGCAAGCGUUGUUCGGAAUUACUGGGCGUAAAGGGCGCGUAGGCGGCACGGCAAGUCAGGAGUGAAAGCCCGGGGCUCAACCCCGGAAUGUCUUUUGAAACUGCCGAGCUAGAGUGCGGAAGAGGCAACUGGAAUUCCCAGUGUAGCGGUGAAAUGCGUAGAUAUUGGGAAGAACACCUGAGGCGAAGGCGGGUUGCUGGGCCGACACUGACGCUGAGGCGCGAAAGCCAGGGGAGCGAACGGG
This 253-nucleotide ribosomal RNA is filed under the name uncultured bacterium. RNAcentral describes it as "partial 16S ribosomal RNA". It matches the Rfam family "Bacterial small subunit ribosomal RNA", at positions 524 to 776 of the family's 1533-position model. The record is from RNAcentral.